Molecule: ribosomal RNA, 464 nt
Filed under: Capnocytophaga granulosa
Lineage: Bacteria; Pseudomonadati; Bacteroidota; Flavobacteriia; Flavobacteriales; Flavobacteriaceae
Description: bacterial SSU rRNA
Rfam family: Bacterial small subunit ribosomal RNA
Source: RNAcentral
GAUGAACGCUAGCGGCAGGCCUAACACAUGCAAGUCGAGGGAGAAGCCCUUCGGGGCAGAAACCGGCGCACGGGUGCGUAACGCGUAUGCAACCUACCUUUCACAGGGGGAUAGCCCGAAGAAAUUUGGAUUAAUACCCCAUAAUAUUAUUGGAUGGCAUCAUUUGAUAAUUAAAAUUACGAUGGUGAAAGAUGGGCAUGCGUCCUAUUAGCUAGUUGGAGUGGUAACGGCACCCCAAGGCUACGAUAGGUAGGGGUCCUGAGAGGGAGAUCCCCCACGCUGGUACUGAGACAGGGACCAGACUCCUACGGGAGGCAGCAGUGAGGAAUAUUGGUCAAUGGUCGGAAGACUGAACCAGCCAUGCCGCGUGCAGGAAGAAUGCCUUAUGGGUUGUAAACUGCUUUUAUAUGGGAAGAAUAAGGAGUACGUGUACUUUGAUGACGGUACCAUAUGAAUAAGCUUCG